Molecule: ribosomal RNA, 500 nt
Filed under: uncultured bacterium
Lineage: Bacteria
Description: partial 16S ribosomal RNA
Rfam family: Bacterial small subunit ribosomal RNA
Source: RNAcentral
AUUGAACGCUGGCGGCAUGCCUUACACAUGCAAGUCGAACGGCAGCACGGGAGCAAUCCUGGUGGCGAGUGGCGAACGGGUGAGUAAAGUAUCGGAACGUGCCCAGUCGUGGGGGAUAACGUAGCGAAAGUUACGCUAAUACCGCAUACGAUCUAUGGAUGAAAGCGGGGGAUCGCAAGACCUCGCGCGAUUGGAGCGGCCGAUAUCAGAUUAGGUAGUUGGUGGGGUAAAGGCUAACCAAGCCGACGAUCGUUAGCUGGUCUGAGAGGACGACCAGCCACACUGGGACUGAGACACGGCCCAGACUCCUACGGGAGGCAGCAGUGGGGAAUUUUGGACAAUGGGCGAAAGCCUGAUCCAGCCAUGCCACGUGCAGGAUGAAGGCCUUCGGGUUGUAAACUGCUUUUGUACGGAACGAAAAGGUUUGGCCUAAUAAGCUGAGCUCAUGACGGUACCGUAAGAAUAAGCACCGGCUAACUACGUGCCAGCCGCCGCAGUAA